Molecule: ribosomal RNA, 465 nt
Filed under: uncultured bacterium
Lineage: Bacteria
Description: partial 16S ribosomal RNA
Rfam family: Bacterial small subunit ribosomal RNA
Source: RNAcentral
CCUACGGGGGGCAGCAGUAGGGAAUCUUCCACAAUGGGCGAAAGCCUGAUGGAGCAACGCCGCGUGGGUGAAGAAGGUCUUCGGAUCGUAAAACCCUGUUGUUAGAGAAGAAAGUGCGUGAGAGUAACUGUUCACGUUUCGACGGUAUCUAACCAGAAAGCCACGGCUAACUACGUGCCAACAGCCGCGGUAAUACGUAGGUGGCAAGCGUUAUCCGGAUUUAUUGGGCGUAAAGGGAACGCAGGCGGUCUUUUAAGUCUGAUGUGAAAGCCUUCGGCUUAACCGGAGUACUGCAUUGGAAACUGGGAGACUUGAGUGCAGAAGAGGAGAGUGGAACUCCAUGUGUAGCGGUGAAAUGCGUAGAUAUAUGGAAGAACACCAGUGGCGAAAGCGGCUCUCUGGGCUGUAACUGACGCUGAGGUUCGAAAGCGUGGGUAGCAAACAGGAUUAGAUACCCUAGUAGUC